GUAGUUGGUGGGGUAAUGGCCCACCAAGCCGACGAUCCUUAGCUGGUCUGAGAGGAUGAUCAGCCACACUGGGACUGAGACACGGCCCAGACUCCUACGGGAGGCAGCAGUGGGGAAUAUUGGACAAUGGGCGAAAGCCUGAUCCAGCAAUGCCGCGUGAGUGAUGAAGGCCUUAGGGUUGUAAAGCUCUUUUACCAGGGAUGAUAAUGACAGUACCUGGAGAAUAAGCUCCGGCUAACUCCGUGCCAGCAGCCGCGGUAAUACGGAGGGAGCUAGCGUUGUUCGGAAUUACUGGGCGUAAAGCGCACGUAGGCGGCUAUUCAAGUCGGGGGUGAAAGCCCGGGGCUCAACCCCGGAACUGCCCUCGAAACUAGGUAGCUAGAAUCUUGGAGAGGCGAGUGGAAUUCCGAGUGUAGAGGUGAAAUUCGUAGAUAUUCGGAAGAACACCAGUGGCGAAAGCGACUCGCUGGACAAGUAUUGACGCUGAGUGCGAAAGCGUGGGGAGCAAACAGAUUAGAUACCCUGGUAGUCACGCCGUAAACGAUGAUGACUAGCUGUCUGGGCGCUUAGCGUUCAGUGCGCAGCUAAC
Molecule: ribosomal RNA, 589 nt
Filed under: uncultured bacterium
Lineage: Bacteria
Description: bacterial SSU rRNA
Rfam family: Bacterial small subunit ribosomal RNA
Source: RNAcentral